AAACCAUGUGAUGAAUACGGAUUUACAAUUUCUCACGACGGUCGUCUGAGAUUUCCUGAUGCAAUGAUCCUUUUUUUCUGAUGGUU
Molecule: non-coding RNA, 86 nt
Organism: Vigna radiata var. radiata (mung bean)
Lineage: Eukaryota; Viridiplantae; Streptophyta; Magnoliopsida; Fabales; Fabaceae
Source: Rfam